GCCUCCUAGAUGCGGGUUGCGGCUCUACGGAGCAGAGCCGAGGUUGGGCCGGGACCGCGGAUGGGACAGGAGGCCGGCCGGCCCGCUCGCUCUGCGGGUGGAUGCGGUGGCGGCAAUGCACGCCCUAGAAGAAGAGAGCUUCGCGCUGUCCUUCUCUUCCGCCUCUGAUGCAGAAUUUGAUGCUGUAGUUGGGUAUUUAGAGGACAUUAACAUGGAUGAUGAGUUCCAGUUAUUACAGAGAAAUUUCAUGGACAAGUACUAUCAGGAGUUUGAAGACACAGAAGAGAAUAAACUCACCUACACACCUAUUUUUAACGAAUACAUUUCUCUGGUAGAAAAGUAUAUUGAAGAACAGCUGCUGGAGCGGAUUCCUGGAUUUAACAUGGCGGCUUUCACCACGACUUUACAGCACCAUAAAGAUGAAGUGGCUGGUGACAUAUUUGACAUGCUGCUCACGUUUACAGAUUUUCUGGCUUUUAAAGAAAUGUUUCUGGACUACAGAGCAGAAAAAGAAGGCCGGGGACUGGAUUUAAGCAGUGGUUUAGUGGUGACUUCAUUGUGCAAAUCCUCUUCUGUGCCAGCUUCCCAGAAUGACCUGCGACCCUAGGUCCCACCACCAAGCAAUGGGAUCUUCCUGGAUGUUGCCAGCCCAGUAGACUGGAAGAGGCUCUGGCUAAUGUGACAGAAUACAUGUUAGAAAGACUGACUGCUCUGCAACUCCUUAUUAAUAUUAAGUAUUCAUGGGUCAAGACAAUGGUCUGACCCUCCUGAGACCCUGAAGCACCUUCUCGUGUUCAGUAAUCCUAGCACUCCUCCCCAAGCAGACCACUCUCAGGCCUCCGCAUUAGGCUCCGGCUCCCGAGCUUGGCAUUGCCCUGGGGC
Enhydra lutris kenyoni (northern sea otter) is the source of this 882-nucleotide RNA transcript. It is a transcript of the gene named ADP-ribosylation factor-like protein 2-binding protein pseudogene, with no coding region annotated. The record is from RefSeq and is a predicted model, not a curated record. The transcript has a single exon. NCBI's taxonomy places the organism in Eukaryota, Metazoa, Chordata, Mammalia, Carnivora, Mustelidae.